AACGCACCUUGCGCUCCUUGGUAUUCCGAGGAGCAUGCCUGUUUGAGUGUCAUUUAAUUCUCAAUCACUACAAUCUUGUGUUGUUUAGUGGAUUGGAGGUGGGGGUUUUUGUGGGUUUAUUUUAAUAGAUCUGCUCCCCUUAAAAUCAUUAGCUGGAAUGCCUUUGCAAAACCAACUAUCAGUAUGAUAAUUAUCUACUCUGAUGUUGUUGUAAAAGGGGAUCUGCUUUCAAACCGUCGUUCAGACACUAUGAAUCAAUUUGACCUCAAAUCAGGUAGGACUACCCGCUGAACUUAA
This 297-nucleotide unclassified non-coding RNA is filed under the name uncultured Strophariaceae. RNAcentral's name for it is "sequence contains ITS2". The stretch from base 1 to 52 matches the Rfam family "5.8S ribosomal RNA", at positions 103 to 154 of the family's 154-position model. The record is from RNAcentral. Lineage: Eukaryota; Fungi; Basidiomycota; Agaricomycetes; Agaricales; Strophariaceae.